AGCAGCCGCGGUAAUUCCAGCUCCAAUAGCGUAUAUUAAAGUUGUUGCAGUUAAAAAGCUCGUAGUUGAAUUUCGGGAUCAAUAUGUUGGUCGUGCCUCGGUACGUACUAGCAUAUUGGUUUCUCCUUUCUGAAGAACCAUGAUGUCAUUUAUUUGGUGUCGUGGGGAAUCAGGACUGUUACUUUGAAAAAUUAGAGUGUUUAAAGCAGGCUCACGCUUGAAUACAUUAGCAUGGAAUAAUGAAAUAGGACGUUUGAUUCUAUUUUGUUGGUUUCUAGGAUCGACGUAAUGAUUAAUAGGGAUAGUUGGGGGCAUUAGUAUUCAAUUGUCAGAGGUGAAAUUCUUGGAUUUAUUGAAGACUAACUACUGCGAAAGCAUUUGCCAAGGAUGUUUUCAUUAAUCAAGAACGAAAGUUAGGGGAUCGAAGACGAUCAGAUACCGUCGUAGUCUUAACCAUAAACUAUG
Molecule: ribosomal RNA, 465 nt
Filed under: uncultured Glomus
Lineage: Eukaryota; Fungi; Glomeromycota; Glomeromycetes; Glomerales; Glomeraceae
Description: SSU rRNA
Rfam family: Eukaryotic small subunit ribosomal RNA
Source: RNAcentral